Molecule: ribosomal RNA, 492 nt
Filed under: uncultured bacterium
Lineage: Bacteria
Description: partial 16S ribosomal RNA
Rfam family: Bacterial small subunit ribosomal RNA
Source: RNAcentral
AGUGAACGCUGGCGGUAGGCCUAACACAUGCAAGUCGAACGGCAGCACAGUAAGAGCUUGCUCUUACGGGUGGCGAGUGGCGGACGGGUGAGGAAUACAUCGGAAUCUACUUUUUCGUGGGGGAUAACGUAGGGAAACUUACGCUAAUACCGCAUACGACCUACGGGUGAAAGCAGGGGAUCUUCGGACCUUGCGCGAUUGAAUGAGCCGAUGUCGGAUUAGCUAGUUGGCGGGGUAAAGGCCCACCAAGGCGACGAUCCGUAGCUGGUCUGAGAGGAUGAACAGCCACACUGGAACUGAGACACGGUCCAGACUCCUACGGGAGGCAGCAGUGGGGAAAUUUGGACAAUGGGCGCAAGCCUGAUCCAGCCAUACCGCGUGGGUGAAGAAGGCCUUCGGGUUGUAAAGCCCUUUUGUUGGGAAAGAAAAGCAGCAGGUUAAUACCCCGCUGUUCUGACGGUACCCAAAGGAUAAGAACCGGCUAACUUGGUG